RNAcentral lists this transfer RNA (91 nucleotides) under Clostridium sp. CAG:567. Its description in RNAcentral is "transfer RNA-Ser(GCT)". It matches the Rfam family "tRNA". From Rfam's summary of the family: Transfer RNA (tRNA) molecules are approximately 80 nucleotides in length. Their secondary structure includes four short double-helical elements and three loops (D, anti-codon, and T loops). RNAcentral also lists the same sequence under 2 other names. Lineage: Bacteria; Bacillati; Bacillota; Clostridia; Eubacteriales; Clostridiaceae. The record is from RNAcentral.
GGAGGCUUACCCAAGUGGUUGAAGGGGACAGUUUGCUAAACUGUUAGGGUUCGCAAGGGCCGCGAGGGUUCAAAUCCCUCAGCUUCCGCCA